RNAcentral lists this ribosomal RNA (254 nucleotides) under uncultured bacterium. Its description in RNAcentral is "partial 16S ribosomal RNA". It matches the Rfam family "Bacterial small subunit ribosomal RNA", at positions 524 to 776 of the family's 1533-position model. The record is from RNAcentral.
UACAGAGGGGGCAAGCGUUAUUCGGAAUUAUUGGGCGUAAAGCGCACGUAGGCGGCCUUGUAAGUCUCACUGUGAAAGUCCGGGGCUCAACCCCGGGAUGCCAGGGGAUACUGCGAGGCUGGAGACAAGCAGAGGUUGGUAGAAUUCCGGGUGUAGCGGUGGAAUGCGUAGAGAUCCGGAGGAAUACCAGAGGCGAAGGCGGCCAACUGGGCUUGUUCUGACGCUGAGGUGCGAAAGCGUGGGGAGCGAACAGG